AUUGAACGCUGGCGGCAGGCCUAACACAUGCAAGUCGAGCGGAAACGAGUUAACUGAACCUUCGGGGGACGUUAACGGCGUCGAGCGGCGGACGGGUGAGUAAUGCCUGGGAAAUUGCCCUGAUGUGGGGGAUAACCAUUGGAAACGAUGGCUAAUACCGCAUAAUAGCUUCGGCUCAAAGAGGGGGACCUUCGGGCCUCUCGCGUCAGGAUAUGCCCAGGUGGGAUUAGCUAGUUGGUGAGGUAAGGGCUCACCAAGGCGACGAUCCCUAGCUGGUCUGAGAGGAUGAUCAGCCACACUGGAACUGAGACACGGUCCAGACUCCUACGGGAGGCAGCAGUGGGGAAUAUUGCACAAUGGGCGCAAGCCUGAUGCAGCCAUGCCGCGUGUAUGAAGAAGGCCUUCGGGUUGUAAAGUACUUUCAGCAGUGAGGAAGGUUCAUGCGUUAAUAGCGUAUGGAUUUGACGUUAGCUGCAGAAGAAGCACCGGCUAACUCCGUGCCGGCAGCCGCGGUAAUACGGAGGGUGCGAGCGUUAAUCGGAAUUACUGGGCGUAAAGCGCAUGCAGGUGGUUCGUUAAGUCAGAUGUGAAAGCCCGGGGCUCAACCUCGGAACUGCAUUUGAAACUGGCGGACUAGAGUACUGUGGAGGGGGGUAGAAUUUCAGGUGUAGCGGUGAAAUGCGUAGAGAUCUGAAGGAAUACCAGUGGCGAAGGCGGCCCCCUGGA
This 726-nucleotide ribosomal RNA is filed under the name uncultured Vibrio sp. RNAcentral's name for it is "bacterial SSU rRNA". It matches the Rfam family "Bacterial small subunit ribosomal RNA", at positions 28 to 733 of the family's 1533-position model. Lineage: Bacteria; Pseudomonadati; Pseudomonadota; Gammaproteobacteria; Vibrionales; Vibrionaceae. The record is from RNAcentral.